RNAcentral lists this ribosomal RNA (460 nucleotides) under uncultured bacterium. RNAcentral describes it as "partial 16S ribosomal RNA". It matches the Rfam family "Bacterial small subunit ribosomal RNA", at positions 338 to 795 of the family's 1533-position model. The record is from RNAcentral.
CCUACGGUGUGCAGCAGUGAGGAAUAUUGGUCAAUGGGCGAGAGCCUGAACCAGCCAAGUCGCGUGAGGGACGACGGUCCUACGGAUUGUAAACCUCUUUUAUCAGGGAGCAAGGAGCGCCACGAGUGGUGCGGCGAGAGUACCUGAAGAAAAAGAAUCGGCUAACUCCGUGCCCGCAGCCGCGGUAAUACGGAGGAUGCGAGCGUUAUACGGAUUUAUUGGGUUUAAAGGGUGCGCAGGCGGACGCGGAAAUGAAUCGGUAAAGUUGCGGGGCUAAACCUCGACGAGCCGUUGAAACUGCUCUUCUAGAGUGGGCGAGAGGUGUGCGGAAUGCGUGGUGUAGCGGUGAAAUGCAUAGAUAUCACGCAGAACUCCGAUUGCGAAGGCAGCAGACCGGCGCCCAACUGACGCUCAUGCACGAAAGCGUGGGUAUCGAACAGGAUUAGAUACCCCAGUAGUC